This 406-nucleotide unclassified non-coding RNA is filed under the name fungal sp. RNAcentral describes it as "partial internal transcribed spacer region". The stretch from base 1 to 46 matches the Rfam family "Eukaryotic small subunit ribosomal RNA", at positions 1786 to 1831 of the family's 1831-position model. Lineage: Eukaryota; Fungi. The record is from RNAcentral.
AAGUCGUAACAAGGUUUCCGUAGGUGAACCUGCGGAAGGAUCAUUAACGAGAAAAUGCUACUUCUACUGCGGUAGAGUGUAGUCAUUUAAUAAUGAUAAUUUGUUGAACGAUAGUCGCUCGUUUUAGCGUAAAGCUAAAAACAUAAUUAUGUUAACGAGUAUGCUAGUUGGUUAAUGAUGUGCGUGCACGCUUAAUUGCGUGCGUGUACAUAGAGCGACCGAACUACUGACUGCUACUCGGGGUACGGCCCGUAGUGUAAUGCUACGGUGAGUCGUACCUGUGUCAUUUUUAAAUUUGAGUAAUACAAUUCGCGUACGCGUGUUUAAGCGCGAGUACGUGUAGACUUGUAAAAGAGAGAAUAAUAAUAAAAUGCAUAACUGCAAACGGUGGAUCACUCGGCUCACG